RNAcentral lists this ribosomal RNA (511 nucleotides) under uncultured bacterium. RNAcentral describes it as "partial 16S ribosomal RNA". It matches the Rfam family "Bacterial small subunit ribosomal RNA", at positions 355 to 855 of the family's 1533-position model. The record is from RNAcentral.
UGGGGAAUUUUUGGACAAUGGGCGAAAGCCUGAUCCAGCAAUGCCGCGUGUGUGAAGAAGGCCUUCGGGUUGUAAAGCACUUUUGCCCGGAAAGAAAUCCUCUGGGUUAAUACCUCGGGGGGAUGACGGUACCGGAAGAAUAAGCACCGGCUAACUACGUGCCAGCAGCCGCGGUAAUACGUAGGGUGCAAGCGUUAAUCGGAAUUACUGGGCGUAAAGCGUGCGCAGGCGGUUUUGUAAGACGGAUGUGAAAUCCCCGGGGUCUUAACCUGGGAACUGCAUUCGUGACUGCAAGGCUAGAGUAUGGCAGAGGGGGGUAGAAUUCCACGUGUAGCAGUGAAAUGCGUAGAGAUGUGGAGGAAUACCGAUGGCGAAGGCAGCCCCCUGGGCCAAUACUGACGCUCAUGCACGAAAGCGUGGGGAGCAAACAGGAUUAGAUACCCUGGUAGUCCACGCCCUAAACGAUGUCAACUAGUUGUUGGGGACUUCAUUUCCUUAGUAACGUAGCUAA